GUGGGUGUAGCUCAACCUGGUUAGAGCAUCUGACUGUGGAUCAGAGGGUUGCGGGUUCAAUUCCCGUCACCCACC
Molecule: transfer RNA, 75 nt
Filed under: candidate division Zixibacteria bacterium RBG-1
Lineage: Bacteria; Pseudomonadati; Candidatus Zixiibacteriota
Also listed under: 1 other name
Rfam family: tRNA
About the family: Transfer RNA (tRNA) molecules are approximately 80 nucleotides in length. Their secondary structure includes four short double-helical elements and three loops (D, anti-codon, and T loops).
Source: Rfam by way of RNAcentral